UACGAAGGGGGCUAGCGUUGCUCGGAAUCACUGGGCGUAAAGGGUGCGUAGGCGGGUCUUUAAGUCAGGGGGGAAAUCCUGGAGCUCAACUCCAGAACUGCCUUUGAUACUGAGGAUCUUGAGUUCGGGAGAGGUGAGUGGGACUGCGAGUGUAGAGGUGAAAUUCGUAGAUAUUCGCAAGAACACCAGUGGCGAAGGCGGCUCACUGGCCCGAUACUGACGCUGAGGCACGAAAGCGUGGGGAGCAAACAGG
RNAcentral lists this ribosomal RNA (253 nucleotides) under uncultured bacterium. RNAcentral's name for it is "partial 16S ribosomal RNA". It matches the Rfam family "Bacterial small subunit ribosomal RNA", at positions 524 to 776 of the family's 1533-position model. The record is from RNAcentral.